CGGAAGUUACUGGGCGUAAAGACGCAUGCAGGCGGCCUGUUAAGUCAGAUGUGAAAGACCCGGGGCGUUAACCUCGGAAUUGCAUUUGAAACUGGCAGGCUAGAGUCUUGUAGAGGGGGGUAGGAAGUUUCAGGUGUAGCGGUGAAAUGCGUAGAGAUCUGAAGGAAUACCAGUGGCGAAGGCGGCCCCCUCGGACAAAGACUGACGCUCAGAUGCGAAAAGCGUGGGGAGCAAACAGGAUUAGAUACCCUGGUAG
RNAcentral lists this ribosomal RNA (256 nucleotides) under uncultured bacterium. RNAcentral describes it as "partial 16S ribosomal RNA". It matches the Rfam family "Bacterial small subunit ribosomal RNA", at positions 547 to 793 of the family's 1533-position model. The record is from RNAcentral.